GAUGAAGAACGCAGCGAAAUGCGAUAAGUAAUGUGAAUUGCAGAAUUCAGUGAAUCAUCGAGUCUUUGAACGCACAUUGCGCCCCCUGGUAUUCCGGGGGGCAUGCCUGUCCGAGCGUCAUUGCUGCCCUCAAGCACGGCUUGUGUGUUGGGCCCCGUCCCCUCCCCCGGGGACGGGCCCGAAAGGCAGCGGCGGCACCGCGUCCGAUCCUCGAGCGUAUGGGGCUUUGUCACCCGCUCUGUAGGCCCGGCCGGCGCCAGCCGACACCAACUUUUAUUUCUAAGGUUGACCUCGGAUCAGGUAGGGAUACCCGCUGAACUUAAGCAUAUCAAUAAGCGGAGGA
RNAcentral lists this unclassified non-coding RNA (343 nucleotides) under soil metagenome. Its description in RNAcentral is "partial contains 5.8S ribosomal RNA, internal transcribed spacer 2, and large subunit ribosomal RNA". The stretch from base 1 to 120 matches the Rfam family "5.8S ribosomal RNA", at positions 35 to 154 of the family's 154-position model. The record is from RNAcentral.